RNAcentral lists this ribosomal RNA (328 nucleotides) under uncultured eukaryote. Its description in RNAcentral is "partial 18S ribosomal RNA". It matches the Rfam family "Eukaryotic small subunit ribosomal RNA", at positions 1470 to 1796 of the family's 1831-position model. The record is from RNAcentral.
CCCUUAGAUGUUCUGGGCCGCACGCGCGCUACACUGACUACUUCAACGAGUUGUUUCCUUGAUCGAAAGGUCUGGGUAAUCUUUGAAAGGUAGUCGUGAUGGGGAUAGAUCCUUGCAAUUUUUGAUCUUCAACGAGGAAUUCCUAGUAAACGCAAGUCAUCAGCUUGCAUUGAUUACGUCCCUGCCCUUUGUACACACCGCCCGUCGCACCUACCGAUUGAAUGGUCCGGUGAACCUUUAGGACUGUGGCUGAGGCCUUGCCUUGUGCGGGUCUGGCCGUGGGAAUUUAGUUAAACCUUACCAUUUAGAGGAAGGUGAAGUCGUAACA